ACGCUAGCUACAGGCUUAACACAUGCAAGUCGAGGGGAAACGACAUCGAAAGCUUGCUUUUGAUGGGCGUCGACCGGCGCACGGGUGAGUAACGCGUAUCCAACCUGCCCAUCACUUGGGGAUAACCUUGCGAAAGUAAGACUAAUACCCAAUGAUAUCUCUAGAAGACAUCUGAAGGAGAUUAAAGAUUUAUCGGUGAUGGAUGGGGAUGCGUCUGAUUAGCUUGUUGGCGGGGUAACGGCCCACCAAGGCGACGAUCAGUAGGGGUUCUGAGAGGAAGGUCCCCCACAUUGGAACUGAGACACGGUCCAAACUCCUACGGGAGGCAGCAGUGAGGAAUAUUGGUCAAUGGGCGAGAGCCUGAACCAGCCAAGUAGCGUGCAGGAUGACGGCCCUAUGGGUUGUAAACUGCUUUUAUAAGGGAAUAAAGUGAGAGUUGUGAGACUUUUUGCAUGUACCUUAUGAAUAAGGACCGGCUAAUUCCGUGCCAGCAGCCGCGGUAAUACGGAAGGUCCGGGCGUUAUCCGGAUUUAUUGGGUUUAAAGGGAGCGUAGGCCGGAGAUUAAGCGUGUUGUGAAAUGUAGACGCUCAACGUCUGCACUGCAGCGCGAACUGGUUUCCUUGAGUACGCACAAAGUGGGUGGAAUUCGUGGUGUAGCGGUGAAAUGCUUAGAUAUCACGAAGAACUCCGAUUGCGAAGGCAGCUCACUGGAGCGCAACUGACGCUGAAGCUCGAAAGUGCGGGUAUCGAACAGGAUUAGAUACCCUGGUAGUCCGCACGGUAAACGAUGGAUGCCCGCUGUUGGCCUGAAUAGGUCAGCGGCCAAGCGAA
This 832-nucleotide ribosomal RNA is filed under the name uncultured bacterium. RNAcentral describes it as "bacterial SSU rRNA". It matches the Rfam family "Bacterial small subunit ribosomal RNA", at positions 33 to 855 of the family's 1533-position model. The record is from RNAcentral.